AUUGAACGCUGGCGGCAUGCUUUACACAUGCAAGUCGAACGGCAGCGCGGGCUUCGGCCUGGCGGCGAGUGGCGAACGGGUGAGUAAUACAUCGGAACGUGCCCAGUAGUGGGGGAUAGCUCGGCGAAAGCCGGAUUAAUACCGCAUACGACCUGAGGGUGAAAGCGGGGGAUCUUCGGACCUCGCGCUAUUGGAGCGGCCGAUGGCAGAUUAGCUAGUUGGUGGGGUAAAGGCCUACCAAGGCGACGAUCUGUAGCUGGUCUGAGAGGACGACCAGCCACACUGGGACUGAGACACGGCCCAGACUCCUACGGGAGGCAGCAGUGGGGAAUUUUGGACAAUGGGCGAAAGCCUGAUCCAGCAAUGCCGCGUGUGUGAUGAAGGCCUUCGGGUUGUAAAGCACUUUUGGUGGGAACGAAAAGGACUGUGCCAAUACCACGGUUCGAUGACGGUACCCGCAGAAUAAGCACCGGCUAACUACGU
Molecule: ribosomal RNA, 483 nt
Filed under: uncultured bacterium
Lineage: Bacteria
Description: partial 16S ribosomal RNA
Rfam family: Bacterial small subunit ribosomal RNA
Source: RNAcentral